RNAcentral lists this long non-coding RNA (807 nucleotides) under Numida meleagris (helmeted guineafowl). Its description in RNAcentral is "lncRNA (ENSNMEG00000001951.1)". The record is from RNAcentral. Lineage: Eukaryota; Metazoa; Chordata; Aves; Galliformes; Numididae.
GUCUGACCCAAAAACCCCCGUUUUCAACCCAAAAUGCCCCACCCAAAAAGCCCCAGUUUCGACCCAAAAUCAGCCCCGAAGCGUCUGACCCGAAAAGCGCCGUUUUCAACCCCAAAAUCAGCCCCAAAACGGGGCAGAUCGAAGCCAAAAUGUCUGACUCAAAAACCCCCGCUUUCAACCCAAAAUGCCUGACCCAAAAAGUCCCGCUUUCAACCCAAAAUCAGCCCCAAAAUGGGGCAGAUUCAACCUCAAAUGUCUGACCCAAAAAGCCUCGUUUUCAACCCAAAAUGUGCAACCCAAAAAGCCCCGUUCUCAACCCAACAUGUCUGACCCAAAAACCCACGCUUUCAACCCAAAAUGCCCCACCCAAAAAGCCCCAGUUUCGACCCCAAAUCAGCCCCAAAACGAGCAGAUUCCACCCAAAGAGUCUGACCCAAAAAGCCCUGGUUUCAACCCAAAAUCAGCACCCAAAUGGAGCAAAUUCAACCCAAAGUGUCUGACCCAAAAACCCCCGUUUUCAACCCAAAAUGCCCCACCCCAAAAGCCCCCUUUUCGACCCAAAAUCAGCCCCGAAGCGUCUGACCCGAAAAGCGCCGUUUUCAACCCCAAAUCAGCCCCCAAAUGGGGCACGUUCAACCCAAAAUCAGCCCCAAAACACAGCACGUUUAACCCACAAUGUCUGACCCAAAAAGCCCCGUUUUCAACCCAAAAUCAGCCCCAAAAUAAAGCAAAUUCAACCCAAAAUGCCCCAUCCAAAAAGCCCCAGUUUUGACCCAAAAUCAGCCCCAAAACGAGCAGAUUCCACCC